Molecule: small RNA, 1090 nt
Filed under: Drosophila virilis
Lineage: Eukaryota; Metazoa; Arthropoda; Insecta; Diptera; Drosophilidae
Description: GJ25665
Source: RNAcentral
GCUCGUGUCAAGUUGGUUGCCGCGGCAAAGCGGCAAUCGGCUGUGUGGCUAUCCAGUUAUACAGUUAACCCAUAGACUACAAAUUGUGUUAGCAGUUACUUAUGCGUGUCAGUGUGUGAGUGUGAGUGUAUGCGUGAGUGCCGCCGACAGGCAAUCAAUACGAACUAGAAAAGGAGAGGGUCAAAGAGACAGGGAGAGAGAGAGAGAGUGGGAGAGAGAGUGAAGGCGAGCAACAGCCGUCGGCAUUUAUACGGCAGGCCGCUAUUUAAAGUUGACGUUGAUGACGUAUGGACAAUAGAUGUCGCCACUUAAAGCCGUUAACCAGCGGCCACGGAAGCAGACGGCGGAAAUUACAAAUGCGUUGACAGGCGGCGAACAACCAAAACGGCUCAGCGGCUGCCAGCGACUGCAGCAAAAGAUGUGUCUACGCAACUAUGGCCAUGCCACGCGCGUUAUCAUUGGACACAUAAUUGCCCUCAAUCGGGCUAAAUGAAAACAACUCGUUGACGUUGCCGCCCCACAAACAAAAAUAACAAACAAAAAAAAAAAGUGUUGAGAGUAAGAAAAGCCUAUUACUAUAUCUUCUAUAAGUAACCGCACACUCCGCUCAUAUCUCAUAUAACAAUUAAGCGCUACGCGUCGCUUAAUUGAAAUGUUUCAAGGCAAACAAAUCAACGGGACAGACCGAAGCCCCAACAAAUUGUGGCACGCAAAUUGGAAUUUCAUUGUCUUCCACUGACAACGGCCAAAUUUUCCGCGCGCUCGGAUGACCCUUGGCUAUACAAUAUCCCAAAUAAUCGUAUACAAUGCGCUACCGUACCCAACGACACAACAACAAUGUUUCCCAGUUGACUCACGUAUCCUUGGUCAUGCCAUACCAUAGAUAUAGUCCUGGUAAACGUCCAAAUUCCUGUAAUAUUCGCUCGCAAAUGGCUUCAGCUGGUAUACAGCCGUUUCUUAACAGGGACAGCGAAAGUAUGCAAAACAAACUUGCGGUUUCUGAUUUGACAAUCGACUAAUAUAUUUGCUGCUACCGCAUAUGCAAUGUAAUUAUUCUGCAAGUAGAGAGAGGCUUACAUAAAACACCUGC